AUCUCCCGGAAAGCAGGCCGAAUACCAGCACCUGGUUCUGGAGUUAACUUCUGGACAAAGCCAGUAUAUUUGGAUUUAUAUAAAUUCCACUUUAACUAUGGCUAGGUAUUAAACCGGCCAGUAACUUACUCUCUCUUGAUCGCAUCGACUCUAGUGGGCGAAGCAUCGCUCGAAAGAGCCGAUAUCAAACAUGGCUCCCCCGUUGAGCAAGGAGGUCAUUACGGACAGUGAUAGUAGUGGUGACGAUUCCCCAUCCUACCCUGAACGAGAACCGCAGAAGACCAAGUCCUCCGCCCGAAAACCCACUGAGAAGGUAAAAUCAAAAAAUCACCCCGCAACGGAAUCGAAGCAAGAACUUGAUCCGGAACCAAGCUCUUCAAGUUCAGACUCAGAGGUUGAAAAUGAAAGUGACAGCUUAUCCGAAGGAAGAUCCAGCACGCCUUCGAUGGGAUCUGCUGCACCAAUACACAUUCCUGCGCAAGAAUUCAAACCACCGGAAGGAUUUAAACUAAUACCAACAACUGCUCCGCGAUCGUCGGAUAUUUCAAAAGUGUUCUCGGAUCUGCGAAGGAAACGAAUAUGGCACAUUACCGCGCCGGCGUCAGUGCCAAUGAACUCUAUACAAGAACUUGCGCUUGAUACUGUAGCUACGGGGGGCUCUAUAUUGACACACAAGGGUGUAAAUUAUCAACUCCGGGAGGACCAGGUUGAAGCAAAGAAAAACAAGUCGCUUCUACUUCCUGAUGAACGGGGCAAUGUCUACUUCCGAAGCCGCGUGGAUGUCGCACAAACCUUUCAUUUGGAGCGGAUCAUUAGCUUGGAAAACGGGACUACAUAUUCGGAGCAAUCUGUUCCAAUAAGUGAAUUAACAAAGCCGAAACAACAACAGCCCAGAAAUCUCAAAAUGCGAUACAAACCAAUUGGUUUGACAGACGAUCUGCCCGAAACAUUUGGAUCCGGCUCGGACGAAUCAGAUGGGGCCUCAUUCCGAAUGCCUCAGCCACUUUCUCAGGACCGGGAAGGCAAAAGGAGGAGGAAAUCAUCGAUGGAAAUAGGGUCUAGCAAUGAGCAGGUGGAUCGACGCAAAAAACAUAAACGGAUUCAUUCCAAUUCAGUUGAUGACAGUACGAGAAAUGGAGAAUUGAAGCCGUCUCCGAAAUCGAAAGAAACCAAAGAUACAGAAAUUACGCGGGGGAAGUCGGAUAAGCGACAUGGGGACAAACGGAGCAAGAAGCACAGGGACGAAACCAGCCAAGAACGGAGAGCACGGAGGGAAGAAAGGAAGCGGAAAACGCAGGCCCUGGC
This 1305-nucleotide small RNA is filed under the name Histoplasma capsulatum var. duboisii H88. RNAcentral describes it as "Histoplasma capsulatum H88 hypothetical RNA". Lineage: Eukaryota; Fungi; Ascomycota; Eurotiomycetes; Onygenales; Ajellomycetaceae. The record is from RNAcentral.